GUCACAUGUAAAAAAGAUCCUCAUUCCGUCGAGGCGCAGUAAACAAAAAAAAUUCUAUCCAUAUUCCACAAACAGAAUGUGAAAUACUUCCCUGUUCCAAAAUUCGCCUCAUCCCCCGAAUUAUUAAAUAAGUUUAAAUAUGUGAUGUAAAAACGCCGUUUAUGUAUUUGGUUGGAUAGAUACAAUUUGUGUAGCAUAAAUGUUUUCAGGAAAUCGAAGCAAACAUAUUUAUGCACAAUUGUCUUCGCGCAUACCAAGUGAGAUUCCAAUUUUUGAUCAGUUCAAUAGACCUUCCCUCUUAUGAGUGAAAUUUUAAUCUAGAUAUGCCUGGACAAAAAUUUCA
This is a non-coding RNA of Paramuricea clavata, 343 nucleotides long. Lineage: Eukaryota; Metazoa; Cnidaria; Anthozoa; Malacalcyonacea; Plexauridae. The record is from the annotation of a GenBank genome assembly.